UAAGGAAUAUUGGUCAAUGGACGCAAGUCUGAACCAGCCAUGCCGCGUGAAGGAUGAAGGCCCUCUGGGUCGUAAACUUCUUUUAUCUGGGACGAAAUCACCUUUUUCUAAGGGUGUUGACGGUACCAGAGGAAUAAGCACCGGCUAACUCCGUGCCAGCAGCCGCGGUAAUACGGAGGGUGCAAGCGUUAUCCGGAUUCACUGGGUUUAAAGGGUGCGUAGGCGGACUUGUAAGUCCGUGGUGAAAUCUCCAGGCUUAACCUGGAAACUGCCAUGGAUACUAUAAGUCUUGAAUGUUGUGGAGGUUAGCGGAAUAUGUCAUGUAGCGGUGAAAUGCAUAGAUAUGACAUAGAACACCAAUUGCGAAGGCAGCUGGCUACACAAAUAUUGACGCUGAGGC
Molecule: ribosomal RNA, 400 nt
Filed under: uncultured bacterium
Lineage: Bacteria
Description: bacterial SSU rRNA
Rfam family: Bacterial small subunit ribosomal RNA
Source: RNAcentral